RNAcentral lists this ribosomal RNA (85 nucleotides) under Leptospiraceae bacterium. Lineage: Bacteria; Pseudomonadati; Spirochaetota; Leptospiria; Leptospirales; Leptospiraceae. The record is from RNAcentral.
UCCCAUCCCGAACACAGAAGUCAAGCCCUUCAUCGCCAAUGGUACUAUGUGGUUCGCUGCAUGGGAGAGUAGGACGCUGCCAGAA